CAUAGGUACAGUUAGCUGCAAAAAGUAUGUAUCGAAAGAAUUGUACUUGGUACUACACUCUUAUUACGCUGCGGGCUUAGCAUGGUCUUAGUUAUCACGCGAUAUGGUGACAAUCUUGUUGUUAAAAUGACAGUUUUCUUCGAUUUUAUCGUUCACACUACGGUUGCAGACGAUAAUAGGAGUUAUCCACAUUUGACAGCGAUAGAUGACAAUCGACAAUUUGCAUAACAUGGUCGUCGGAUAAUUUGACACAUUAUCCCAUUUUGGCAGUUCAAUAUAGUUAAUUUUAUCUACGUGCUUCUUAGGUCACGACAAGCGUUGUCGUGGAUGCAAAGCUCAUGAAAAAACCUAUGUUAAGGUAUAAAUUAUCAGUAAGUAUCCGUUUUUCUAUGAUUUUAUUGAGUGUUAGUUAUUGAGUGUUAGUUAGUUAGUUAGUAGUGUAACUCCUCUGGAGUUGCAGGUGUACAUAGGCUACGGAGACUGCUUACCAUCAGGCGGGCCGUAUGCUUGUUUGCCACCGACGUAGCAAAAAAAAAAAGUUCCGCUGCAUAUAAUAUUGUCAAUAUUUUCUUUGCAGGGAUGUCGAGAUUUUUUUUCUUCCAGCUCGCAACUGCUGCAGAGGAAAAAGAAAGAAGAAGGAUUCAGCGACGAUCUUUGAGGGACGCUGGAAACCCCUUUGAUAUGCCGGACGAAGAGUUCCGUCAUAUAUACAGAGUACGAAAGGAGUUAGUGUUAUAUAUUUGUGAAGAACUCAACGCCGACCUCCAGCCUCACAAGGGUGAUGGAUUGCCAUCUCACCUUAAGGUAAAGCUAUAAUAUUGCAGUGUUGCUCAUAUAGUACCAAAAGUUUGUAUGUUAAGAUACCGCACAAUCACACAAAAUUAGCUGAUACAAAUAUUUGGGUGAAAUUGUUGUUUAUAACAUAACAGAGGUGCUACAUUAUACCUUAAAAUUUAAAUAUUUCUUAAGCGAAAAAAUUUACUUAAAUAAUUAAGCUGUGUACAACUACUUAAAUAAGAUUCUAACAGCAUUACAUCUGCUGGCUGAUGGCAAUUAUCAACACGGGACUGGUCAGGAUCAUGGUUUAUCUAUUGGUCAGACGACUGUAAGCCACAGUAUCUCGAACAAUUUGUAGAUGCUGUGAACAGAAGGUAUGUUUAUUGGACCACUGACCUACUAGGCAUCAAAAACUGUGAGAGUAUACUAGGGCUAUCUUAGUAGUUUUUACUUUUUUGAAUAAGCAUCAGUGUUGAUGUAUUGUGUAAUGAGAUAGGUAUUGUUUGAUAGUUAUGUUCAGGUAGUUAGUUACAUUGGAUACAUAAUCUGGAAUUGCAAUACUAGCUAGGUUUGACUAAGGUUAAGUUCUAAAACGUGCCAUCUAAAAUAUGCUCCUUUUUACAGACUUAAAGACCAAUGGAUAAUAGUUUUUCCUGGAACUGAUCGGUCCCGACGAUCAGUUGCCUCAGGAUUUGAGGAUGCAUAUGGUCUGCCAAAUAUCUUGGGUGCAGUAGACUGCACUCAAGUGAAAAUAUUUCCCACCUGUGCCACACGGAGUGCAAUAUCUGAAUCGGAAAGGCGUUCACGCUCUUAAUGUACAGCUAGUAAGUUUCAAUUUUAGUUACAAAUAAUGAUUUUUUUAUAUUAAUCAUAAAAUCCUCAUCACUGACCACAAUGUAUGUAUAUUAUAAUUAAAUAAAGAAAUAUAAAUACUAUGGGACAAUCUAACACAAAUCGACUAAGAUAAUGAUGUACCUAAUCUAGAUUGAUUAUAAUAAUUCAUUAAAAUAAUAACUUAUAUGUUACUACUUGGUUGUCACCAAUUCUCAAAUAAGAAUAUAAAUAACCUUAUAUCUUCAGAUUGCAGAUGUCAACUGUAAGAUCUUGGCAGUAAACACGAGGUUUCCUGGCCGUGUGCACGACUCUUUCAUAUUUAACAAUUCGUCCAUUUAGGAUGAAUUAAGAAGAUUGUACAAUGGCCACAUUGGGGAGUAUUUCCUUCUGGGUAAGCAGAAAAUUGUGUAUCUGUACCUAGUGUAAAUUUAUUCGAUGGGGAGACGUGACGUACGCGUUUGCGUUAACUGUCAUUUUGUAUGGAAUUUUGAGUUUCCAAAACAUCCCGCUUGGCGCGCUGUUUCUAAAUCCCUUAGCACCACUUGCACCAUUUCACUAACUCGGGGUUAACUGGUUAACCCUGGAGUUACCAUGUUACCAGUACAAUUUCACAUUGGGUUAACGGUUUAACCGGUUAACCCCGGGUUAUUGGAAUGGGGCAAGUGCAUGUUAGUAAAUGUACUAAGAUCACGACCACAGAAUAAAUAGUUCAUGACUAAGUUAAUAUACCUAUCAUAAUGUAAAUAACCGGCCAAGAGCAUGUCGGGCCACGCUCAGUGUAGGGUUCCGUAGUUACUCUUCCGUCACAAUAAGCUAAACUGGAGCUUAAAGUGUAGUAAAUGGUACCUUUCACCCGAGUUAAACAAAUAGGCAAAUUUGCAUAAUCAGUACCUAAUUAAAGAAGUCUUUUUACUAUGAAGGGAAAACUUUUUGCGAUAACUCAAAAACAGCUAAACUGAUCAUGUCCGCUAUAGUUUUCAUUUAAUGUCUUUCUUAAGCUCUACUUCCACGAUUUUUUUCAUAUUUUUUGGACCUAUGGUUCAAAAGUUAGAGGGGGGGGGGCACAUUUUUUUUUUCUUUCGGAGCGAUUAUCUCCGAAUAUAUUCACUUUAUCAAAAAAUGUUUCUUGAAAACCCCUAUUAGUUUUGAAAGACCUUUCCAACGAUACCCCACACUUUAGGGUUGAAGCGAAAAAAAAAAUUCACCCCCACUUUACGUGUAGGGGAGGUACCCUAAAAAAAAUUAAAAUUUUAGAUUUUAUUGUACGACUUUGUCGGCUUUAUUGAUUUAUAUAUCCAUGCCAAAUUUCAGCUUUCUAACACUAACGACCACGGAGCAAAGCCUCGGACAGACAGACAGACAGACAGACAGACGGACAUGGCGAAACUAUAAGGGUUCCGUUUUAUGCCAUUUGGCUACGGAACCCUAAAAAGGCAUAAGCAAGGGGGAAGUUUCGUUAGUUGUUCAGAUGAUUAAGUAUUAUGUAACCAAAAAAUAAUAAUUUCAGGUGACUCGGGGUAUGCUCUUGAGCCAUGGCUCAUGACGCCAGUGCUGAAUCCUGCCCCGGGAAGCCCAGAAGCAAGGUAGGUACACGGUCUGGCACUGUCGCGUGCGCAACACGAUCAAGCGUACCAAUGGGUACCUCAAAAACGUAUUCCGGUGCCUGGGCCACGACCGCGUCUUACACUACAGCCCGACGAAGGCAUCGUCAAUAAUAAAUGCAUGUUGCGUAGUAUACAACAUAAUGCAACAUUAUAGAAAUGUUCCCGAGGAAAUCGUAGGAGAUAUUGAUGAAGACGCUCCUCAAGAACUUCCUCAUCGUCAUGCGCAAAACGGACUACUAUUAAGAGUGGCGCAGGAAAAGCGUGCGCGUCUAAUAAAUACAUAUUUUGCUUA
Long non-coding RNA from Cydia pomonella (codling moth), 3507 nucleotides. RefSeq lists it as uncharacterized. NCBI's taxonomy places the organism in Eukaryota, Metazoa, Arthropoda, Insecta, Lepidoptera, Tortricidae. The record is from RefSeq and is a predicted model, not a curated record. The transcript has 2 exons.